AUAUCAGUCAUGCAUAGCAUAUCAAUAAGCGGAGGAAAAGAAACUAACAAGGAUUCCCUAGUAACGGCGAGUGAAGCGGGAAGAGCUCAAAUUUGAAAUCUUCAAGGUUCUACCUUGACGAAUUGUAGUUUAUAGAAGUGUUUUCUGUUAGUGGAGUGGCAAAAGUUCUUUGGAAUAGGACAUCAUAGAGGGUGAGAAUCCCGUAUUUGGUCAUUCCCUCCUAGCGUUGUGAUACACUUUCAACGAGUCGGAUUGUUUGGGAAUGCAGUCCAAAAUGGGUGGUAAAUUUCAUCUAAAGCUAAAUAUUGGCGAGAGACCGAUAGCGAACAAGUACCGUGCGGGAAAGAUGAAAAGAACUUUGAAAAGAGAGUUAAACAGUACGUGAAAUUGUCAAAAGGGAAGCGUUUGACACCAGUGUUGUUUUUCCGAAAAUCAAUUACGAAUGUUUUGUUUUUAAGAAGUUAUGACUUCAUCGGCUUGCUUCUUUCUUUACGAAACUUUCUUAAUGCACUUUUCGGUUAACAAGUCAACAUCAAUUUCUUUUGUUGUAAAAGGGUAUGAGGAAGGUGGCUUUCUUUUCGGAGAAAGUGUUUAUAGCCUUGUGCCUCUGCAAUCGGAGAGAUUGAGGUCUGCAGCGUAGAUCCUUCGGGGUUAGAUACGUUUGUGCUAAGUUAUAGCUUUUCAUAGACAACUUGUUGACUAUGUUUAGUCUUGUAGCUUACUCGCUGACGCUAUUUUACCUACGCUUAGGAUGUUGAUCUCUCACAGUCGAGC
Molecule: ribosomal RNA, 774 nt
Filed under: uncultured Neocallimastigales
Lineage: Eukaryota; Fungi; Neocallimastigomycota; Neocallimastigomycetes; Neocallimastigales
Description: partial large subunit ribosomal RNA
Rfam family: Eukaryotic large subunit ribosomal RNA
Source: RNAcentral